UCCCUGAUGGCUCAGAUGGUAAAGAGUCUGCCUGCAAUGCAGGAGACCCAGGUUCGAUCCCUGAGUUGGGAA
This 72-nucleotide transfer RNA is filed under the name Bos taurus (domestic cattle). It matches the Rfam family "tRNA". From Rfam's summary of the family: Transfer RNA (tRNA) molecules are approximately 80 nucleotides in length. Their secondary structure includes four short double-helical elements and three loops (D, anti-codon, and T loops). The record is from Rfam by way of RNAcentral. Lineage: Eukaryota; Metazoa; Chordata; Mammalia; Artiodactyla; Bovidae.